RNAcentral lists this transfer RNA (77 nucleotides) under Actinomycetes bacterium. RNAcentral describes it as "Actinobacteria bacterium tRNA-Ala". It matches the Rfam family "tRNA". Rfam says of the family: Transfer RNA (tRNA) molecules are approximately 80 nucleotides in length. Lineage: Bacteria; Bacillati; Actinomycetota; Actinomycetes. RNAcentral also lists the same sequence under 1 other name. The record is from RNAcentral.
GGGGACGUAGCUCAGCUGGCUAGAGCACCUGCUUUGCAAGCAGGGGGUCGUGGGUUCGAGUCCCUUCGUCUCCACCA